AACGUAGGAGACAAACGUUAUCCGGAGUUACUGGGCGUAAAGGGCGUGUAGGUGGUUUCGUAAGUCUGGCGUGAAAUUUUUCGGCUUAACCGGGAAAGGUCGUCGGAUACUGCGGAGCUAGAGGACGGUAGAGGCGAGUGGAAUUCCUGGUGUAGCGGUGGAAUGCGCAGAUAUCAGGAGGAACACCAAUAGCGAAGGCAGCUCGCUGGGACGUUACUGACACUGAGGCGCGAAAGCGUGGGGAGCGAACAGG
This 253-nucleotide ribosomal RNA is filed under the name uncultured bacterium. RNAcentral describes it as "partial 16S ribosomal RNA". It matches the Rfam family "Bacterial small subunit ribosomal RNA", at positions 524 to 776 of the family's 1533-position model. The record is from RNAcentral.